CAAGGCCCAACAAUAGCUUUACACUCAAUUACAUUUAUGGUUUCUGUGAUUCAUCUAAAUGUUUGUGGCUUUGUCACUACCUGGAAGUUAAGAAAAGAAAAAGAAAAAGGAAAAGAAAGCCCCGGAAUGAACAGUUUUCUGCUGCAAGACACUGGGUGACACAACAGAAACUGAGCAACUACCUUUAGUGGAGGCAGCAGUGGCUGGAGGUGAAUGUUUUCCCACCACAGCGCCGUGAGAUAAACAAGGGGCAGCUGAUUCACGCCGCACUUAUUUUCUGCCAUCCACCCUUCGUGUCACCCUGAUAUUUCUUCAAACGAUAAGCCUGCGUGAGCGCUCACGCUGCGCCGCCGAGGUCCGAGUUUCAUCUCUUUCUGCAAAUUGCACGUUAAUUAACCAUUAAUAACAGCGGGAGUUGCAUGCAGAAAUCCACACCCACAGUGACGGGGCUGUGCCCUGGCUGAGCUGCUUAUAGCUGCACUAUGGGGCCGGGUUGGCCUCGGCAGCUCCACAGGCACUGCUCCCCGUCCC
RNAcentral lists this long non-coding RNA (531 nucleotides) under Gallus gallus (chicken). RNAcentral describes it as "long non-coding RNA NONGGAT004568". Lineage: Eukaryota; Metazoa; Chordata; Aves; Galliformes; Phasianidae. The record is from RNAcentral.